RNAcentral lists this ribosomal RNA (298 nucleotides) under Teleopsis pallifacies. RNAcentral describes it as "partial 12S ribosomal RNA". The record is from RNAcentral. Lineage: Eukaryota; Metazoa; Arthropoda; Insecta; Diptera; Diopsidae.
GUAAUAGUUAUGUUCUUGAAACUUAAAAAAUUUGGCGGUAUUUUAGUCUAUUCAGAGGAACUUGUCCUAUAAUUGAUAAUCCACGUUGGACCUUACUUAAGUUUGUUAAACAGUCUAUAUACCGUCGUUAUCAGAAUAUUUUAUAAGGAUAAUAAUUUUCGUAAAUUUAAAUCUAAUUAUAUUUCAGAUCAAGGUGUAGCUUAUAUUUAAGUAGUGAUGAGUUACAUUAAAAUUAUUUAAAUGAAUAUUAUUAUGAAAAAUUAAUUGAAGGUGGAUUUGGAAGUAAAAUUAUAAAGAU